This 28-nucleotide small RNA is filed under the name Bombyx mori (domestic silkworm). RNAcentral describes it as "ovarian small RNA-25717". The record is from RNAcentral. Lineage: Eukaryota; Metazoa; Arthropoda; Insecta; Lepidoptera; Bombycidae.
UCAGCGUUGUCGCUGUGGCGUGGGCCUC